GCGAGUGAAGCGGCAACAGCUCAAAUUUGAAAGCUGGCCCCCCCGGGGGUCCGCGUUGUAAUUUGUAGAGGAUGAUUCGGCGAGGGCUCCCGCCUAAGUCCCCUGGAACGGGGCGUCAUAGAGGGUGAGAAUCCCGUAUGCGGUGGGCUGCCUUAGCCACGUGAAUCUCCUUCGACGAGUCGAGUUGUUUGGGAAUGCAGCUCUAAAUGGGAGGUAAAUUUCUUCUAAAGCUAAAUACCGGCCAGAGACCGAUAGCGCACAAGUAGAGUGAUCGAAAGAUGAAAAGCACUUUGGAAAGAGAGUUAAAAAGUACGUGAAAUUGUUGAAAGGGAAGCGCUUGCAGCCAGACUUGUCCGCAGUUGCUCAGCCGGUCUCCUGACCGGCGCACUCUUCUGCGGCCAGGCCAGCAUCAGUUCGGGCGGUCGGAUAAAGGCCCCGGGAACGUAGCUCCUCUCGGGGAGUGUUAUAGCCCGGGGUGGAAUGCGGCCAGCCCGGACUGAGGAUCUCGCUUCGGCUAGGAUGCUGGCGUAAUGGCUGUAAGCGGCCCGUCUUGAAACACGGACCAAGGAGUCUAACAUCUAUGCGAGUGUUUGGGUGUCAAACCCAUGCGCGUAAUGAAAGUGAACGGAGGUGGGAACCCUCGCGGGUGCACCAUCGACCGAUCCUGAUGUCUUCGGAUGGAUUUGAGUAAGAGCAUAGCUGUUGGGACCCGAAAGAUGGUGAAC
Molecule: ribosomal RNA, 725 nt
Filed under: Neoscytalidium novaehollandiae
Lineage: Eukaryota; Fungi; Ascomycota; Dothideomycetes; Botryosphaeriales; Botryosphaeriaceae
Description: partial large subunit ribosomal RNA
Rfam family: Eukaryotic large subunit ribosomal RNA
Source: RNAcentral